Non-coding RNA from Trichonephila clavata, 73 nucleotides. The record is from the annotation of a GenBank genome assembly. Lineage: Eukaryota; Metazoa; Arthropoda; Arachnida; Araneae; Nephilidae.
GUCCCUGUAGCGCAAUAGAUAGCGCGUUGGACUUCUGAUCUAAAGGUCGUGUGUUCGAAUCCCACUUGGGAUG